UAUGAAGGUCAGGCUGAAGACUUACCCGAUUAGCUGAGAGGUGGUGCAUGGCCGUCGUCAGUUCGUACUGUGAAGCAUCCUGUUAAGUCAGGCAACGAGCGAGACCCACGUCCACAGUUGCCAGCAUACCCUCCGGGGUGAUGGGUACACUGUGGAGACCGCCGCUGCUAAAGCGGAGGAAGGAGUGGGCAACGGUAGGUCAGUAUGCCCCGAAUCUCCCGGGCUACACGCGGGCUACAAUGGUUGGUACAAUGGGCAUCUACCCCGAAAGGGGAAGGAAAUCUCUUAAAGCCAAUCGUAGUUCGGAUUGAGGGCUGCAACUCGCCCUCAUGAAGCUGGAAUCCGUAGUAAUCGCGUUUCAACAGAACGCGGUGAAUACGUCCCUGCUCCUU
This 392-nucleotide ribosomal RNA is filed under the name uncultured Methanosaeta sp. RNAcentral describes it as "bacterial SSU rRNA". It matches the Rfam family "Archaeal small subunit ribosomal RNA", at positions 946 to 1338 of the family's 1478-position model. The record is from RNAcentral. Lineage: Archaea; Methanobacteriati; Methanobacteriota; Methanomicrobia; Methanotrichales; Methanotrichaceae.